AAAGUGGCGCUUUUCAGCGCCACGAUAUUUCUUUUUAGCAGAAUAGU
This 47-nucleotide non-coding RNA is filed under the name Vibrio marisflavi. RNAcentral describes it as "Histone3". It matches the Rfam family "Histone 3' UTR stem-loop". From Rfam's summary of the family: The mRNAs of metazoan histone genes lack a poly-A tail. The record is from RNAcentral. Lineage: Bacteria; Pseudomonadati; Pseudomonadota; Gammaproteobacteria; Vibrionales; Vibrionaceae.